Molecule: ribosomal RNA, 497 nt
Filed under: uncultured bacterium
Lineage: Bacteria
Description: partial 16S ribosomal RNA
Rfam family: Bacterial small subunit ribosomal RNA
Source: RNAcentral
GACGAACGCUGGCGGCGUGCCUAAUACAUGCAAGUAGGACGCUGAAGAGAGGAGCUUGCUCUUCUUGGAUGAGUUGCGAACGGGUGAGUAACGCGUAGGUAACCUGCCUUGUAGCGGGGGAUAACUAUUGGAAACGAUAGCUAAUACCGCAUAACAAUGGAUGACACAUGUCAUUUAUUUGAAAGGGGCAAUUGCUCCACUACAAGAUGGACCUGCGUUGUAUUAGCUAGUAGGUGAGGUAACGGCUCACCUAGGCGACGAUACAUAGCCGACCUGAGAGGGUGAUCGGCCACACUGGGACUGAGACACGGCCCAGACUCCUACGGGAGGCAGCAGUAGGGAAUCUUCGGCAAUAGGGGCAACCCUGACCGAGCAACGCCGCGUGAGUGAAGAAGGUUGUCGGAUCGUAAAGCUCUGUUGUAAGUCAAGAACGAGUGUGAGAGUGGAAAGUUCACACUGUGACGGUAGCUUACCAGAAAGGGACGGCUAACUACGUG